RNAcentral lists this ribosomal RNA (301 nucleotides) under uncultured bacterium. RNAcentral describes it as "partial 16S ribosomal RNA". It matches the Rfam family "Bacterial small subunit ribosomal RNA", at positions 509 to 807 of the family's 1533-position model. The record is from RNAcentral.
CAGUAGCCGCGGUAAUACGGAGGAUCCGAGCGUUAUCCGGAAUCAUUGGGUUUAAAGGGUCCGUAGGCGGUUUAGUAAGUCAGUGGUGAAAGCCCAUCGCUCAACGGUGGAACGGCCAUUGAUACUGCUGAACUUGAAUUAUUAGGAAGUAACUAGAAUAUGUAGUGUAGCGGUGAAAUGCUUAGAGAUUACAUGGAAUACCAAUUGCGAAGGCAGGUUACUACUAAUUGAUUGACGCUGAUGGACGAAAGCGUGGGGAGCGAACAGGAUUAGAUACCCCCGUAGUCCCUGUCUCUUAUAC